ACUCUCCUGCUUUGCUCGUGAUGGUUAGAGGGCUCGUCUGAGCCGAUGUCUUCAACCCAAGCGAGUUGCGACGGCCAUGUGGUGUGCAUGCCUCCGCGGAGAGGAAGCCUAAAGCGUGGUUUUUACAGCAGCUCCACCUGCUAACGCAGGUUCAGCGAUCCCUCUCACACGGCAAAGCGGGGCUUUC
This 187-nucleotide non-coding RNA is filed under the name Acidimicrobiia bacterium. RNAcentral describes it as "6S RNA". It matches the Rfam family "6S / SsrS RNA". From Rfam's summary of the family: E. coli 6S RNA was the first non coding RNA to be sequenced, but its function was unknown until recently. It consists of 184 nucleotides that fold into an extended hairpin structure with a large single-stranded internal bulge. The record is from RNAcentral. Lineage: Bacteria; Bacillati; Actinomycetota; Acidimicrobiia.